Long non-coding RNA from Mizuhopecten yessoensis (Yesso scallop), 254 nucleotides. RefSeq lists it as uncharacterized. NCBI's taxonomy places the organism in Eukaryota, Metazoa, Mollusca, Bivalvia, Pectinida, Pectinidae. The transcript is spliced from 4 exons. The record is from RefSeq and is a predicted model, not a curated record.
UGUUAGAGAUCUAGGCCGCAAUACACAUAGUCAACGGUCGAGGUCAGCUUUGUAAAGAAGGAGAUCGCAUUCCCACGUAGCGAUACCACAGCCUGAAAUGACAUUAGGAGCGUGUUUCUACUUUUUCCUUAUUGCAACAUGUGCGAGUGAUUCUACCAACCAUGAUGUUCAUGCAAAGUCAUCACAGAAUGGUUUGGGGAAUGUUCACUACGAACACGCGCAGACCCUGACUGGGAACAACGGUCUCUCUUCAG